GACAACAUGUCCGAGUGGUUAAGGAGAUUGACUCGAAAUCAAUUGGGCUUCGCCCGCGUAGGUUCAAAUCCUGCUGUUGUCG
This 82-nucleotide transfer RNA is filed under the name Mitosporidium daphniae. It matches the Rfam family "tRNA". From Rfam's summary of the family: Transfer RNA (tRNA) molecules are approximately 80 nucleotides in length. Their secondary structure includes four short double-helical elements and three loops (D, anti-codon, and T loops). Further hydrogen bonds mediate the characteristic L-shaped molecular structure. tRNAs have two regions of fundamental functional importance: the anti-codon, which is responsible for specific mRNA codon recognition, and the 3' end, to which the tRNAs corresponding amino acid is attached (by aminoacyl-tRNA synthetases). tRNAs cope with the degeneracy of the genetic code in two manners: having more than one tRNA (with a specific anti-codon) for a particular amino acid; and 'wobble' base-pairing, i.e. permitting non-standard base-pairing at the 3rd anti-codon position. Lineage: Eukaryota; Fungi; Microsporidia. The record is from Rfam by way of RNAcentral.